This 664-nucleotide ribosomal RNA is filed under the name uncultured archaeon. Its description in RNAcentral is "bacterial SSU rRNA". It matches the Rfam family "Archaeal small subunit ribosomal RNA", at positions 691 to 1353 of the family's 1478-position model. The record is from RNAcentral.
UCGACGGUGAGGGAUGAAAGCUGGGGGAGCAAACCGGAUUAGAUACCCGGGUAGUCCCAGCUGUAAACGAUGCAAACUCGAUGAUGCGUUGGCUUAUUGCUAGCGCAGUGUCGCAGGGAAGCCGUUAAGUUUGCCGCCUGGGAAGUACGUACGCAAGUAUGAAACUUAAAGGAAUUGGCGGGGGAGCACCACAAGGGGUGAAGCCUGCGGUUCAAUUGGAGUCAACGCCUGAAACCUUACCCGGAGAGACAGCAGAAUGAAGGUCAAGCUGAAGACUUUACCAGACAAGCUGAGAGGUGGUGCAUGGCCGUCGCCAGCUCGUGCCGUGAGAUGUCCUGUUAAGUCAGGUAACGAGCGAGAUCCCUGCCUCUAGUUGCCACCAUUACUCUCAGGAGUAGUGGGGCGAAUUAGCGGGACCGCCGCAGUUAAUGCGGAGGAAGGAAGGGGCCACGGCAGGUCAGUAUGCCCCGAAACUCUGGGGCCACACGCGGGCUGCAAUGGUAACGACAAUUGGUUUCGAAUCCGAAAGGAUGAGGUAAUCCUCAAACGUUACCACAGUUAUGACUGAGGGCUGCAACUCGCCCUCACGAAUAUGGAAUCCCUAGUAACUGCGUGUCAUUAUCGCGCGGUGAAUACGUCCCUGCUCCUUGCACUCACCGCCCGU